UGGAAACGUGUGCUGGUGAGAUAGCGACGUGCACCGAGCCUCGCAAAUGGUCCUCGUCCACCUGAGGGCGUCGAACGUGUACGAUGUGGGGGGCAUGAAUGAAGCGAACACCAUCGACUUUAGACACAUGGUGGGGGUAGAGUACCACACUCAGCGAGAGGUGGUUCGCCCACCGCCGUCUCUCACAGACACUAACGCCAAUCAUGUGGCGAUGGUCAGCAUGGGACUAUACCGUUUCUCCAAUGCGACGAGUCCAGUUGUCAUCUUUGUCAGCUCCGAGGAGCGAUGCAGCAUGCCGGCGCGGUUCUUCUGCACCCGGUUUGUGCAUUACUUUCGGUGGAUAGGCGAAAGUGUGCAGCUGUUUGUUGCCUCCAAGAGCUUCCAAGAUCAUCGUCCGACGCCGUACGCGACGCAACGGGAUACAUGGCUUCAAGAAAACCGACGGUGUGUGUCGGCUGCCUUGGACUACUUCGACUCGAAUCCGAAGCUGGGCUUUGUCGCCACUCCCGUUGCAGUUAUGUUUACUGACUGCGACUGCGCGGAUGCCCGUGCAGCACUGGUGAGUUUGCUCCCCCCUGAGCGCUCUUUUUUAAUUCGGCACGUGCGGUUUGCGGAGGAGUGGGAGAGCCACAGGCAGAACUCCUAUCGCUUUAUCGACGUUAGCCUCCAGCGGCAGGCACUGCGCGCGUCGCGGAGCAGCGGCAGCGUUGUCUGCUCCAGCCUCACCAGUUUUCUCAACAGUAUGCUUCCGACGCUGUAUCAGCUCUACUCGGCGGAGCCGCUGGAGGGCGCGCCAGGCGAGACACUCAAGUCGUUCCCGCCAAUCUUCUUUACCCGCCACGGGCAGUCCGAGUACAACGUCGAGGAUCGACUCGGCGGAGACCCGGACUUGACGGAGACCGGCCGAAUCGACGCCGAAGACAUUGCCCACUUUUUUGAGCGUCAAGUCAAGACGAAUGUAAACUUGUUCGACCAUCGCACCACCGUGUGGGAGGAGGACGGCGACUUUGAGGUGUGGUGCAGCCAGCUGCGACGCACCCAGCGCACAGCGCAACCCACCGCCGACAUACUGUCCCACGGUGUUCUCAAACCGUUCAAGUCGCUCAACGAGAUUCAUGCCGGCAUCUGCGAGGACAUGACCAACGAGGAAGUGAAGUCCCUCUACCCCUUUAUCCAACGCUUUCGGCAUACUGACAAGGUCGGGUUCCGCUACCCGGACGGCGAAUCGUAUGUCGACCUCGUCCGCCGACUCACACCUCUGCUGAACGACUUGAACAAUUGCAUGAAGUGCGUGGUGGUUGUCGCGCACCAAGCCGUGCUCCGUACUAUGCUGUCUUUCUUCGGCGGGCGGCCAGUAGAAGAGGCCGUGCAUGUCCCGUGCCCACAGCGCACCAUUUGGGCGUGCACAAUGAACCGCCUUGGAGAACCGCAGCUGGCUGAGAUAGCGUUGUCGCCUCGCCAGACUCAAGACGAGGGACCCGAGGCCCACUGGCAGGGCUGGUAGGCAGUCCGGCUGCGUAUAUGUUUUGGUGUGCGCCUAAGUGUGUGUGUGUGUGUGUGUGCUUAUCAGCGCGCCUGCCUGCUCCACUUGCGCGUCCUGUGCUGCGUUGCUUUAGGCUCUUUUUUUUGCCGAUAUCGGUCUCGAACGCCGCUUUCAUCUUUGCACAUUUGCCAGCGCUUCACGUUGAUUUCUUUUCGGCGACUCUUCUGGCCGUGCUGUACGCUGCUACCUCUUCGCUCGUUUCUUGCUCUACCACCCCUUCUCUCCAGCGCGUGCACAUAUAAACGCACCUCCCAAACCGACCUUGUUGUUUCCGUUCUUUCCCUUGUUAUUGCUGAGCGAUCACGGCGUUAGAUCACGCUGCGCGCCGAUGAAGGGCGUGGAAAGGUAUAGCGGGGCCGUUGUUCACCCCCUCUUGCAGCCCUUUACUAACAUGCACAUGCGCAAGCGCAUGCUGACUUCGCCUCGGAGAGCACGGCUACUGCGCGACUCGAACCGCAAACCUGCGUCCGAGGGCAGAUCAAUAGGUGUGCCCUCAGGUGAUGGGGAAGUGAAGGACCGUACGAGAGAGAGGGGCAUUCUAUGGAUGAUGCUUCAGUAAUGGCUUCCUGUACAUUUUUGUUGUUGCUCUUCAUCAUCUUACCUGAUGACGCGGGGGGAUAG
This 2164-nucleotide unclassified non-coding RNA is filed under the name Leishmania donovani. Its description in RNAcentral is "gene:LdHU3.36.0230(CDS-product:6-phosphofructo-2-kinase/fructose-26-bisphosphatas_putative)". Lineage: Eukaryota; Euglenozoa; Kinetoplastea; Trypanosomatida; Trypanosomatidae. The record is from RNAcentral.